CCUACGGGAGGCAGCAGUGGGGAAUAUUGCACAAUGGGGGAAACCCUGAUGCAGCGACGCCGCGUGAGUGAAGAAGUAAUUCGUUACGUAAAGCUCUAUCAGCAGGGAAGAAACACUGACCUUACGGUCAGCAGACGGUACCUGAGUAAGACGCCCCGGCUACCUACGUGCCAGCAGCCGCGGUAAUACGUAGGGGGCAAGCGUUAUCCGGAUUUACUGGGUGUAAAGGGAGCGUAGACGGUGCGCCAAGUCUGGGGUGAAAGGCCGCAGCUUAACUGCGGAACUGCUUUGGAAACUGGGGAACUAGAGUGCGGGAGGGGGAAGCGGAAUUCCUGGUGUAGGGGUGAAAUGCGUAGAUAUUAGGAGGAACACCGGUGGCGAAGGCGGCUUACUGGACCGUAACUGACGUUGAGGCGCGAAAGCGUGGGGAGCAAACAGGAUUAGAUACCCCUGUAGUC
Molecule: ribosomal RNA, 458 nt
Filed under: uncultured bacterium
Lineage: Bacteria
Description: partial 16S ribosomal RNA
Rfam family: Bacterial small subunit ribosomal RNA
Source: RNAcentral